Long non-coding RNA from Xyrauchen texanus (razorback sucker), 757 nucleotides. RefSeq lists it as uncharacterized. The transcript has 3 exons. Lineage: Eukaryota; Metazoa; Chordata; Actinopteri; Cypriniformes; Catostomidae. The record is from RefSeq and is a predicted model, not a curated record.
UGCCAUUGCCUCUGUCGUGCACCAGCUCACUGCAGACCUGGCACCGGCCAAGGACACAGGGAAUUGCACCAGAGGCUACAAAUGAUAUGGCGGUGUGUAAACCAGUGGCAAGGACAAAAAAUAGGGUCAGGACUGGUGUGAAAUGCACACUGUACAGAGCAUAUGCUGGUCCUCUUCCAGAUCGUCACGUCAUGGCCAGCGGAGAGAAACUAAAAGACAUACGUCCACAACCGGGGAUAUGCAAAUUGCUGCACGGGCUUGAGAACCUUACUUUGGUGGACUCUAAAUUUGGCCCUGUGCCAUUUGGAUCUGUGCUUUCUUAUCAGUGCCCUCCUGAAAUAAGCAGAGACAUUAUUAAGCAUCCAGGUGCCCCGGAAUUUCCUCAGUUGCCUGUUGACGGUUACAACUUUAAGUUUCCACUAGAUUUUGAGCCCAACUACAAGCAACAUUGCCACUUGGACAGCAUAAAGGUAUCACACGAGAUUUGUGCUGCUACUGAAGCAGAAACCCGACAGCAAUCAGAAUGCCAGCUGUGGACCCAGGUACGCAAACCCCGACUUACAGCCAGCAGAUUCCGUGAAAUAUGCCAUGUUCGCGGGGAGUCUUGUAAAUACAUUUUUUUCUUUCAAUGCAAAAUGGACCAAAUUUGUAAACUGAUGAGAAUUGAAUUUAGAUGUGUGUGUGUAUAUAUACAGAAUAUACACACAGUAUGCUUUUUAUAUCUGUAUGUACAGCUUUUUUUGCUCAUUGUUUCUUA